AACGCGAAGAACCUUACCUGGCCUUGACAUCCACGGAAUUUGGCAGAGAUGCCUUAGUGCCUUCGGGAACCGUGAGACAGGUGCUGCAUGGCUGUCGUCAGCUCGUGUUGUGAAAUGUUGGGUUAAGUCCCGCAACGAGCGCAACCCUUAUCCUUUGUUGCCAGCACGUAAUGGUGGGAACUCAAAGGAGACUGCCGGUGAUAAACCGGAGGAAGGUGGGGAUGACGUCAAGUCAUCAUGGCCCUUACGGCCAGGGCUACACACGUGCUACAAUGGCGCAUACAAAGAGAAGCGACCUCGCGAGAGCAAGCGGACCUCAUAAAGUGCGUCGUAGUCCGGAUCGGAGUCUGCAACUCGACUCCGUGAAGUCGGAAUCGCUAGUAA
Molecule: ribosomal RNA, 384 nt
Filed under: uncultured bacterium
Lineage: Bacteria
Description: bacterial SSU rRNA
Rfam family: Bacterial small subunit ribosomal RNA
Source: RNAcentral